RNAcentral lists this ribosomal RNA (492 nucleotides) under uncultured bacterium. RNAcentral describes it as "partial 16S ribosomal RNA". It matches the Rfam family "Bacterial small subunit ribosomal RNA", at positions 29 to 507 of the family's 1533-position model. The record is from RNAcentral.
AGUGAACGCUGGCGGUAGGCCUAACACAUGCAAGUCGAACGGCCGCACAGUAAGGCGUUGCUCGUACGGGUGGCGAGUGGCGGAGUGGUCUUGAAUACAUCGGAAUCUACUUUUACGUGGGUGAAUACGUAGGGAAACUUACGCUGAUACCGCAUAUCACCUACGGGUGAAAGCAGGGGAGCUUCGCACCUUGCGCGAGUGAAUGAGCCGAUGUCCGACUAGCUAGUUGUGGGGGUAAAGGCCCACCAACGCGAUGAUCCGUAGCUGGUCUGAGAGGGUGAACCGACAGACUGGAACAGAGACACGGUACAGACUCCUACGCGAGGCAGCAGUGGGGAAUCUUGGACAAUGGGCGAGAGCCUGAUACAGCAAUACCGCGUGGGUGAAGAACGACUUAGGGUUGUAAAGCCCUUAUGUUGGGAGAGAAAAGCAGCAGGUUCACACCCCGAUGUUAUGACGGUACCCAAAGAAUAAGCACCGGCUAACUUCGUG